Molecule: ribosomal RNA, 426 nt
Filed under: uncultured bacterium
Lineage: Bacteria
Description: bacterial SSU rRNA
Rfam family: Bacterial small subunit ribosomal RNA
Source: RNAcentral
UCGAGAAUUUUUCACAAUGGGCGAAAGCCUGAUGGGGCGACGCCGCGUGGGGGAUGAAUGGCUUCGGCCCGUAAACCCCUGUCAUUUGCGAUCAACCGUUAUUAUUUAAAAGAUGAUAACCUGAUAGUAGCGAAAGAGGAAGGGACGGCUAACUCUGUGCCAGCAGCCGCGGUAAUACAGAGGUCCCAAGCGUUGUUCGGAUUUACUGGGCGUAAAGGGUGCGUAGGUGGCGGUGUAAGUCGGAUGUGAAAUCUCCGAGCUCAACUCGGAAACUGCAUUGGAAACUACAUUGCUCGAGGGUUGGAGGGGGGACUGGAAUACUUGGUGUAGCAGUGAAAUGCGUAGAUAUCAAGUGGAACACCAGUGGCGAAGGCGAGUCCCUGGACAACUCCUGACACUGAGGCACGAAAGCUAGGGGAGCAAACA